Molecule: unclassified non-coding RNA, 353 nt
Filed under: soil metagenome
Description: partial contains 5.8S ribosomal RNA, internal transcribed spacer 2, and large subunit ribosomal RNA
Rfam family: 5.8S ribosomal RNA (bases 1-120)
Source: RNAcentral
GAUGAAGAACGCAGCGAAAUGCGAUAAGUAAUGUGAAUUGCAGAAUUCAGUGAAUCAUCGAAUAUUUGAACGCACAUUGCGCCCGCCAGUAUUCUGGCGGGCAUGCCUGUUCGAGCGUCAUUACAACCCUCAGGCCCCCGGGCCUGGCGUUGGGGAUCGGCGGAAGCCCCCUGCGGGCACAACGCCGUCCCCCAAAUACAGUGGCGGUCCCGCCGCAGCUUCCAUUGCGUAGUAGCUAACACCUAGCAACUGGAGAGCGGCGCGGCCACGCCGUAAAACACCCAACUUCUGAAUGUUGACCUCGAAUCAGGUAGGAAUACCCGCUGAACUUAAGCAUAUCAAUAAGCGGAGGA